This 253-nucleotide long non-coding RNA is filed under the name Pelobates cultripes (western spadefoot toad). Lineage: Eukaryota; Metazoa; Chordata; Amphibia; Anura; Pelobatidae. The record is from RNAcentral.
GGAAAGAGUAUAGUACACAAUUAUAUUUGACCUAAGUCUAUAAAGGUAUGGACUAGGGAGAAUAGGUUUCUGGAUAUGAUGGUAUCCAAUGAAUACGUUGUUAAGUUGUUUUAAGAUUAACCUGAGUUUGUUAGACACAGACUAGGAAUAAGAGUUUCUGGGCAGUAUGACCCCAAGUUUUGUUUAUUUUAUUUUAGUCAGUUGAAGUGUACUAAGGAAUAUGGAUUGGUCAGAACAUUAGGACAAUCCUGCU